RNAcentral lists this ribosomal RNA (623 nucleotides) under uncultured bacterium. RNAcentral's name for it is "bacterial SSU rRNA". It matches the Rfam family "Bacterial small subunit ribosomal RNA", at positions 395 to 1010 of the family's 1533-position model. The record is from RNAcentral.
UACCGCGUGUGUGAAGAAGGCCUGAGGGUUGUAAAGCACUUUCAAUAGGGAGGAAAAAGCGUUGGUUAAUAGCUGAUGCCUUGACAUUACCUAUAGAAGAAGCACCGGCUAACUCCGUGCCAGCAGCCGCGGUAAUACGGAGGGUGCGAGCGUUAAUCGGAAUUACUGGGCGUAAAGCGUGCGUAGGCGGCUGUUUAAGUCAGAUGUGAAAGCCCCGGGCUUAACCUGGGAACGGCAUUUGAUACUGGGCAGCUAGAGUUUAGGAGAGGAGAGUGGAAUUUCCGGUGUAGCGGUGAAAUGCGUAGAGAUCGGAAGGAACACCAGUGGCGAAGGCGGCUCUCUGGCCUAAAACUGACGCUGAGGUACGAAAGCGUGGGUAGCAAACAGGAUUAGAUACCCUGGUAGUCCACGCCGUAAACGAUGUCAACUAGCCGUUGGGUCUUUAUUAAGACUUAGUGGUGCAGCUAACGCAUUAAGUUGACCGCCUGGGGAGUACGGCCGCAAGGUUAAAACUCAAAUGAAUUGACGGGGGCCCGCACAAGCGGUGGAGCAUGUGGUUUAAUUCGAUGCAACGCGAAGAACCUUACCUACCCUUGACAUCCAGAGAAUCUGUGAGAGAUCGU